UGCUGCCGUCCGACCGCCCCACCCUACCCACGCGCCUCCGUCGCGAACCCCACCACAUCCCUCAAUCGCACACCGACGCCCUCUCCCUCCGCUCCGGCCGCCGCCUUCUCCCCGUGCUCCGGCUUGCAACAACGGCCUUCUCUCUCUCCCAGCGCUCCGGCCUUCUCUCUCCCAGCGCUCCGGCCUUCUCUCUCCCGCGCUCCGGCCCUCUCUCUCCUAGCACUCCGGCCCUCUCCCUUCCCGCGCUCCGGCCUCCUCCCUCUCCCGAGCUCCGGCCUCCUCCCUCUCCCGAGCUCCGGCCUCCUCCCUCCCCGCGCUCCAGCGUCCUCCCUCCCCGCGCUCCCGCCUCCUCGCACUCCUCGGUCUAUUCGCCUUGCUCCUGUGGUCCGGUCGCCUUCGUCACCGCGCUCCAUCCGCCUUUCUCCUCGAGGUUCGGCCGCCUCCCCCUUUCCCCGAGGCCCCACGGCUGCGUCGCCGCCGCCCAACCGAUCGGUCCACAAGCUAGGGAUCUGGGCCGCCCUCCUCGCCGUGGUGGCCCUGCUGGCCGUUGGUGACAGAAGCGGGGUGGAGGUUUUUAAAGCUUGUCUGUGCCUGCAUGCUGAUCCAUCUACAAGUAGACAACAAUUGCAGGACCUGCGCACAACACUCGGUACCGAGGCAAAAUUCAUAGUUGUAGUUGUCUGCAAUUUACUAUGGCAAAAGGUCAGAAGAUUGUCCUUCCAGCGUGUCGUGGCCACCUCCCCAUAGCACCGCCUCCAUCCAGCGCGCCGCCCCGCUUCCCCACAGCGUGCCGCCGCAGGCGUAACCCUACAUCGCACAUUGAGAAAUGGUGGCGCGCGGGGUGUGAGGCGGCGUCUCCCCACCAUUUUUGUAGGUUGCCACAAAAACAAGAUGCACAAGUUCAUCUUUUGUAUGCUUUUCAGUACAUCUACUUCCCAAUGCUCGAUCCAGGAGGUGCUAGCUCAUGCUGGCUGGAACUAGGAUGCAAAAGGGUUGACGGAUCCAUGCCGCACAAGCACUGCGCCAUGCUCAGUCCAACCACGUGGCUUCAGGGUGGCCGAGUUCGUCGCGACCAUCAGUUCAGAGACCUGCGUCACUGCCCGUGUCGCUACCAUGGCCACCUGUAUCACUGCGUGAUCGGUCAACAACCUCCUGCACAAGGAAAAGCAACAGGAGUAGAGGCAUCUGAGAUGCUCUUUUCUGGCGAGGUGGCUGAUUAUGGUUGUCAGUUUGUAAUACUUUGGCCGCAGUGUACUUAUGUAUCUUUUUCUGGCCGGAGCAUGAUCUGAACUUAUGUCAGUAAGAACUUUGAUUGUGAUGGUACUACAAACUCUAUAAAAACACCAGCAAUCCAUUUUUACCGGUACUUACCUUUUAUUCAAUUCACAUGGAUUGUGCCCCUAUUACCAAUUGUGAUACAAAAAUGCACCAU
This is a non-coding RNA of Triticum urartu, 1432 nucleotides long. The record is from RefSeq and is a predicted model, not a curated record. NCBI's taxonomy places the organism in Eukaryota, Viridiplantae, Streptophyta, Magnoliopsida, Poales, Poaceae.